UUCGGUUGAUCCUGCCGGAGGCUACCGCUAUUGGAGUUCGAUUAAGCCAUGCGAGUCGCGAGAAAUUAGAUUCUCGGCGUACCGCUCAGUAACACGUGGGUAACCUGCCCUAUGCUGGAUAAUAACCUCGGGAAACUGAGAAUAAUGAUCCAUAGUUCACUACGCCUGGAACGGUGAGUGGAUGAAAGCUCCGGCGGCAUAGGAUGGGCCUGCGGCGUAUCAGGUUGUAGGGGGUGUAACGUACCCUCUAGCCCUCUACGCGUACGGGUGUUGGGAGACAUAGCCCGGAGAUGGAUUCUGAGACACGAAUCCAGACCCUACGGGGUGCAGCAGGCGCGAAAACUUGGCAAUGCGAGAAAUCGUGACCAGGGAACUCCAAGUGCAUGGGGUAAGACCCAUGCUUUUCUUGACUCUAAAUAGGUCUUGGAAUAAGGGGUGGGUAAGGACGGUGCCAGCCGCCGCGGUAAUACCGGCGCCUCAAGUGGUAGUCGCUUUUAUUGGGCCUAAAACGUCCGUAGCCGGUCUGAUACAUUCGUGGGUAAAUCAACCAGCUUAACUGGUUGAAUUCUGCGAGGACGGUCAGACUUGGGACCGGGAGAGGUGUGGGGUACGCUCAGGGUAGGGGUAAAAUCCUGUCAUCCUGAGCGGACCACCUGUUGCGAAGGCGCCACACUAGAACGGAUCCGACGGUCAGGGACGAAGCCUAGGGGCACGAACCGGAUUAGAUACCCGGGUAGUCCUAGGUGUAAACGCUGUGGACUUGAUGUUGGGGGUGCUCCGAGCACUCUCAGUGUCGAAGCGAAGGUGAUAAGUCCACUGCCUGGGAAGUACGGUCGCAAGGCUGAAACUUAAAGGAAUUGGCGGGGGAGCACCGCAACCUGAGGAUUGUGCGGUUUAAUUGGAGUCAACGCCGGA
This 915-nucleotide ribosomal RNA is filed under the name uncultured marine archaeon. Its description in RNAcentral is "bacterial SSU rRNA". It matches the Rfam family "Archaeal small subunit ribosomal RNA", at positions 1 to 922 of the family's 1478-position model. The record is from RNAcentral.